RNAcentral lists this long non-coding RNA (487 nucleotides) under Chinchilla lanigera (long-tailed chinchilla). Its description in RNAcentral is "lncRNA (ENSCLAG00000027605.1)". The record is from RNAcentral. Lineage: Eukaryota; Metazoa; Chordata; Mammalia; Rodentia; Chinchillidae.
GGAAGUCUGACUCAGACAAUUGUGCCGUGACCGAACAGUGAUAAAGAAUUUGGUGAGAUAAUUGUGGGAAGGGUCUGGUAGUGAAAUACGGGAGGACUUUGGUAGAAAUCUGCUGAAGUCUGAGGCUCCCGGCUGACUUUUAGUCACGACCGCGGGGCGUGUGGGGAGAUGCAGUACACGCUUCUGUCCUCCAGCCCCGCCUGCAGUAGUUCACAUCAACUCACCGUGACUAUACACCCGUGUUGGGUGCUUUAAAUCAGAUCCUGGAGAGAUGAAAAAGGAGGAAGCCGCUGCAGAAAAUGCUGUGACCAAAGAAGUAUUUCAGGGUGUUUGUUGAAGACUGGCUGCAGCUCCUGGGGCUUGGCCACAGAAUGGAAAGGAACAAUCACUGAGCAGCCCUCAGCUGUUAGUGUACAGGCUCUUAAACAGAAAACGCAGCAGUGAAUACAAAUCGUGUGACUAAGCCGAGAGGUCUCAAACGAAGCUA